This 67-nucleotide transfer RNA is filed under the name Scopimera intermedia. Its description in RNAcentral is "tRNA-Thr". Lineage: Eukaryota; Metazoa; Arthropoda; Malacostraca; Decapoda; Dotillidae. The record is from RNAcentral.
GUUUUAAUAGUUUAAUCAAAACCUUGGUCUUGUAAACCAACAAUGAAAUCUAAGUUUUCUUAAAACU